UGGGGAAUAUUGGACAAUGGGCGCAAGCCUGAUCCAGCCAUGCCGCGUGAGUGAUGAAGGCCCUAGGGUUGUAAAGCUCUUUCACCGGUGAAGAUAAUGACGGUACCUACAGAAGAAGCAACGGCUAAAUACGUGCCAGCAGCCGCGGUAAUACGUAUGUUGCGAGCGUUAUCCGGAAUUAUUGGGCUUAAAGGGCAUCUAGGCGGUAAGACAAGUUGAAGGUGAAAACCUGUGGCUCAACCAUAGGCUUGCCUACAAAACUGUUGAACUAGAGUACUGGAAAGGUGGGUGGAACUACACGAGUAGAGGUGAAAUUCGUAGAUAUGUGUAGGAAUGCCGAUGAUGAAGAUAACUCACUGGACAGAAACUGACGCUGAAGUGCGAAAGCUAGGGGAGCAAACAGG
RNAcentral lists this ribosomal RNA (404 nucleotides) under Verrucomicrobiota bacterium. Its description in RNAcentral is "Verrucomicrobia bacterium partial 16S ribosomal RNA". It matches the Rfam family "Bacterial small subunit ribosomal RNA", at positions 355 to 776 of the family's 1533-position model. Lineage: Bacteria; Pseudomonadati; Verrucomicrobiota. The record is from RNAcentral.